UUUUUGUCUAUCUUCUGUUUCCCUUUUCUUUUUUUGUUCUCUUCCUCUGCUUCUUCCCGUCUUUAUUCCUUCGUUCUUCUUCUUCUUUCUUUUUCUUCUUCUUCUUCUUCUUCUUCUUUCUUCUUAUUCUCCUUUUCCUUCUUCUUGUCUUUCACUAGUGCUGCCUGUCGGAGUGAUCAGCCACCAACUUGAAUCGACAACAAAAAAAUGGCAUGCGCUGCGUGAUCUGCCAUCACUUCCACUGCUGCACGAAACCGCCGACGCCACCACUUGAAGUUGUCGCCGUCUCCGUUGCCUCUAUAAUUUGAUUUAGGGUUUGAAAUCUUUAGUUUUAGGAUUUUUUAUUUUUGGAUUCUUUUUUGUUAAAUUUUCUUAGUUUGGGUCUUUUGUAAUAGAAUUUUACAGUGAAAUUUGCAGCAGCUGUUUGGUAUAA
RNAcentral lists this long non-coding RNA (433 nucleotides) under Citrus x clementina. Its description in RNAcentral is "Citrus clementina (C. clementina) long non-coding RNA (CCLE_LNC006839)". Lineage: Eukaryota; Viridiplantae; Streptophyta; Magnoliopsida; Sapindales; Rutaceae. The record is from RNAcentral.